This 466-nucleotide ribosomal RNA is filed under the name uncultured bacterium. Its description in RNAcentral is "partial 16S ribosomal RNA". It matches the Rfam family "Bacterial small subunit ribosomal RNA", at positions 28 to 507 of the family's 1533-position model. The record is from RNAcentral.
GAUGAACGCUGGCGGCGUGCUUAACACAUGCAAGUCGAACGAUGAAGCCCAGCUUGCUGGGUGGAUUAGUGGCGAACGGGUGAGUAACACGUGAGUAACCUGCCCUUAACUCUGGGAUACGCCUGGGAAACUGGGUCUAAUACCGGAUAGGAGCGUCCACCGCAUGGUGGGUGUUUGAAAGAUUUAUCGGUUUUGGAUGGACUCGCGGCCUAUCAGCUUGUUGGUGAGGUAAUGGCUCACCAAGGCGACGACGGGUAGCCGGCCUGAGAGGGUGACCGGCCACACUGGGACUGAGAGACGGCGCAGACUCCUACGGGAGGCAGCAGUGGGGAAUAUUGCACAAUGGGCGCAAGCCUGAGGCAGCGACGCUGCGUGAGGGAUGAAGGCCUUCGGGGUGUAAACCGCUGUCAGUAGGGAAGAAGCGAAAGUGACGGUACCUGCAGAAGAAGCACCGGCUAACUACGUG